RNAcentral lists this long non-coding RNA (1016 nucleotides) under Gossypium barbadense (sea-island cotton). RNAcentral's name for it is "long non-coding RNA (GBAR_LNC007574)". Lineage: Eukaryota; Viridiplantae; Streptophyta; Magnoliopsida; Malvales; Malvaceae. The record is from RNAcentral.
UCCAUUUACAAUACACAGGCCUUAAGACCUCAUGAGCCCAAAUACAAAAGCCCCAUACCCGGUUACAACCCAUAUCAGAUUAUAUCACUACCCAAUAGACCCAAAUAGUCCCAAGUCACUCGGGCCCAAAAGGCCCAAUGACUUAAAGUACCAGCAGGAAACCCUAGGAACCCCAGCGCCGUAAGAGCCAUUCUAGAAGCAUCGCCACGUCAGAGCCGUUCCAGCUCCCAAAGCAAGGGCCAUCAAUAGCCCUGUCCCCUCACGUCACCCCAGCUGGCCCUCAGCAAUGUCGGUCAGAUUGACGGUCACGAGAUCCUUCGGGCACUCUAAACGUCAUCACUGUUAACCUCACAUCAGUGCACCGCGAUCUCAGGCCUCACCGACGACCUUUUGUGCCUCUAUCAGUGCCGAAAUCUUCGCAGCAAGGGCUGUUUAGUGGUCACCAGACAAGAUUUGCAUCUACAGCGCAAUCUUAGCCGGAUUUUUUGGUACCUGCAAGACAAAGAAACCAACAGACAUAGGAAAGAAAAUGGGACAAAAUAGGAAACUAAAUAGACAAAUAGGGCAAGAAACAACAGUAGAUAAACUGAAACAAAUAAGGAAAGAAAUCAAAGAUUUCUUUCCUAAAACAUGCAUAGUCUAGAGGCUAUAAAGCAGUUCUUUAGAUUUGUAAACAGUUACGGAGAUUGAAUAAAAAAGAAGAACACAAAUUUUUACACUAAGAAUCAACAGUCAAACGAAAGAAUAUUGAGGUGAUUAUUUUUUUUCUUUUCUCUUUUAAAAAUACGUGCUAAUAUUGUAGAGAAAUAAAAAAGGGAAAGGACGUACCUUUUAUUUGCGUCAGAAAGCGAGUUUCUUUAAACCUCUGACCACCGUACGGGGAGGAGUAGGCGACGGCAUGUGGGCGCGUGGGCGCGUGAGGCCGACGACCAGGGCUCGGAUCGACGGAGACUGGAGCCUAGAUCUCUCUUUCCCCUCUCAUUUCAGAGAGAAUUUUAGAUUUUUUUUUAAAAAAC